ACAAGCCGACGAUCUGUAGCUGGUCUGAGAGGACGACCAGCCACACUGGGGCUGAGACACGGCCCAGACUCCUACGGGAGGCAGCAGUGGGGAAUUUUGGACAAUGGGCGCAAGCCUGAUCCAGCCAUGCCGCGUGCAGGAUGAAGGCCUUCGGGUUGUAAACUGCUUUUGUACGGAACGAAAAGACUCUGGUUAAUACCUGGGGUCCAUGACGGUACCGUAAGAAUAAGCACCGGCUAACUACGUGCCAGCAGCCGCGGUAAUACGUAGGGUGCGAGCGUUAAUCGGAAUUACUGGGCGUAAAGCGUGCGCAGGCGGUUAUGUAAGACAGAUGUGAAAUCCCCGGGCUCAACCUGGGAACUGCAUUUGUGACUGCAUAGCUAGAGUACGGCAGAGGGGGAUGGAAUUCCGCGUGUAGCAGUGAAAUGCGUAGAUAUGCGGAGGAACNACCGANUGGCGAAGGCAAUCCCCUGGGCCUGUACUGACGCUCAUGCACGAAAGCGUGGGGAGCAAACAGGAUUAGAUACCCUGGUAGUCCACGCCCUAAACGAUGUCAACUGGUUGUUGGGUCUUCACUGACUCAGUAACGAAGCUAACGCGUGAAGUUGACCGCCUGGGGAGUACGGCCGCAAGGUUGAAACUCAAAGNGAAUUGACGGGGNACCCGCACAAGCGGUGGAUGAUGUGGUUUAAUUCGAUGCAACGCGAAAAACCCUACCCACCUUUGACAUGUACGGAAUCCUUUAGAGAUAGAGGAGA
RNAcentral lists this ribosomal RNA (758 nucleotides) under uncultured Acidovorax sp. Its description in RNAcentral is "bacterial SSU rRNA". It matches the Rfam family "Bacterial small subunit ribosomal RNA", at positions 268 to 1015 of the family's 1533-position model. Lineage: Bacteria; Pseudomonadati; Pseudomonadota; Betaproteobacteria; Burkholderiales; Comamonadaceae. The record is from RNAcentral.